GAUGAACGCUGGCGGCGUGCCUAACACAUGCAAGUCGAACGGGGUUCUAUGUCGGAAGUUUUCGGAUGGAAGAGAUAGAACCCAGUGGCGGACGGGUGAGUAACACGUGGGUAACCUGCCUCAUAGAGGGGGAUAACAGAGAGAAAUCACUGCUAAUACCGCAUAAGCACACGGGAUCGCAUGAUCCAGUGUGAAAAGAUUUAUCGCUAUGAGAUGGACUCGCGUCUGAUUAGCUGGUUGGCGGGGUAAAGGCCCACCAAGGCGACGAUCAGUAGCCGAUCUGAGAGGAUGGCCGGCCACAUUGGGACCGAGACACGGCCCAGACUCCUACGGGAGGCAGCAGUGGGGGAUAUUGCACAAUGGAGGGAACUCUGAUGCAGCAACGCCGCGUGAGUGAAGAAGUAUUUCGGUAUGUAAAGCUCUAUCAGCAGGGAAGAUGAUGACAGUACCUGAAUAAGAAGCCCCGGCUAACUACGUGCCAGCAGCCGCGGUAAUACGUAGGGGGCAAGCGUUAUCCGGAUUUACUGGGUGUAAAGGGAGCGUAGACGGCGAAGCAAGUCUGAAGUGAAAAUCCGGGGCUCAACUCCGGAAGUGCUUUGGAAACUGUUUUGAUAGAGUGUCGGAGAGGUAAGUGGAAUUCCUGGUGUAGCGGUGAAAUGCGUAGAUAUCAGGAAGAACACCGGAGGCGAAGGCGGCUUACUGGACGAUAACUGACGUUGAGGCUCGAAAGCGUGGGGAAGCAAACAGG
This 748-nucleotide ribosomal RNA is filed under the name uncultured Oribacterium sp. RNAcentral describes it as "bacterial SSU rRNA". It matches the Rfam family "Bacterial small subunit ribosomal RNA", at positions 28 to 776 of the family's 1533-position model. The record is from RNAcentral. Lineage: Bacteria; Bacillati; Bacillota; Clostridia; Lachnospirales; Lachnospiraceae.